Long non-coding RNA from Perca fluviatilis (European perch), 1350 nucleotides. RefSeq lists it as uncharacterized. The record is from RefSeq and is a predicted model, not a curated record. NCBI's taxonomy places the organism in Eukaryota, Metazoa, Chordata, Actinopteri, Perciformes, Percidae. The transcript has 2 exons.
CUGAAUCAGCCACAGACUUUAUUAGACAGCACCUGUGCACACAGCCCCUUCCCUUUUGUUCAAGCCACAUGGAGGAAUCCUAGUGUUGCUGCUGGAAAUGCUGUCUCCUGCCUUGUGUGCGUUAUUGAGCUAUAAACCACACAUACCUAGAAAGAAAGAAAGAAAGCAAUUGUGGAAUUAAAAGUGACUAUACUGAAUUGUUCUCACCGACACCUCCAUUGGUAUCAAGCCAGCCACCUACACAUCCCUCUCAAACCUCCUUUUCACGUGCAUUGUGGGUCCAUUCCCUGUUGAGUGUGACAAUCUGAAGUGGAGUCAGAUGGCAGACAAAUCAAUCUUCUCAAAUAUCCAAAAUUCAGUUCAUGUGCAGUUUUGUACUAGGCAUGGAGCCUCUAUUACCGUAUGUGAAAUAAUAUGCAUGACAGUUUUCUUUUGAGUGUCACUUUGCACGAUGUUUGGCUGCUUCCGACUGAGGUUUUUGUUAUGUAAAGAAAAGUAAAAUUGUUAAAUGUCUGUUAAUCGUCAACAUCAGAGGCCCUAACCGCUGACAUCGAGCUGCCUCUGAGACCAUCCAUCACAACACAUGAGGUCAUGUUCUACAGCAGUGGUUCUCAACCUUUUCAAGUCACGACCACCCAGAAUAAUGGAGUUUGUGUUCGCGACCCCCACAACCCCACUGACAACGAGAGAGCGCUGCAAACCAGUGUAAACAGCUGUUUCAACACGCCUCCCCCUGUGGAUUUUGAGUGGUUUUUUUUGUGAAUGUUCUGAUUUAUACAUGUAAACAAAUAAUGCUUUGCUAGUUUAAGUUGAAGCAGCUAGCACCUAAGCCUUGUCCAAUGUGCUCCAGCCUCUGUGGACUUUUGAUGUGUUUGUGACUUGUUCUCUCUCCCCUGACCCACCUUCAGAUCCUUUUUUUCUGUGUUCCAGGCACCAAACUCACACAGUAAUGUAAAAACCAUUCUCCAGUCUAGUAUGUUAUUAAAUUUUUUUUUUUCCACCCCAACUAACUGGCGACCCCCAGAAAUUGUGUUGCUUUUGAUCUAUUUAACCAAUGCUUAGAGUGAUGGACUAAAUGUCUUGAGACCACUUAGGAUGUGUUAGGGUAGUUUGGGUUUCUUCUUUUUGUAGGUUGUAAAUAAUAUUACAUAAUCAAUGUUUCCUUUUUAUUAUCCAAACAAUGAUAGUAUUAUUAAUGUGUAUUAUUCGCUAGUGUCCGGGUCCCUAUACACAAGCUUCAACCACACAGCUUACCAGGGUGUCCCAUUUCCAUUUCACAUAUCUGCAUCAUGUCUUAUGAUUGUACUUGUCUUUUCACUUUUGUGAAUAAAAUUGAACAUGAAAGCACUA